Molecule: long non-coding RNA, 243 nt
Organism: Perca flavescens (yellow perch)
Lineage: Eukaryota; Metazoa; Chordata; Actinopteri; Perciformes; Percidae
Exons: 4
Source: RefSeq, a predicted model, not a curated record
GCAACAUUUUCUGUGUUGUCUUCUUCCGUUGCUCUCAAUCAGAGGAAGACGCUCUCACGCACCCUCCCAAACCUCUUUAUCAAGCUAUCAUGGAAAACGUACCAAACCCCGACAAGCAAAUCAACUGUAACGUGGUAGUCAACAUUGAUCCUGGCAACCAAUGCAGUCAACAACCUGCCUUGCCCCAACAACAACCUCAGGUUGUUCAAACUGUUCAACAACCUGCCUUCCAGUUCCAACAAC